GACGAACGCUGGCGGCGUGCUUAACACAUGCAAGUCGAGCGGUAAGGCCCUUUCGGGGGUACGACGAGCGGCGAACGGGUGAGUAACACGUGGGUGACCUGCCCUCAGCUCUGGGAUAAGCCUGGGAAACCGGGUCUAAUACUGGAUAUGACUCCAUGACGCAUGUUGUGGGGUGGAAAGCCUUGUGCGGCUGAGGAUGGGCCCGCGGCCUAUCAGCUU
Molecule: ribosomal RNA, 219 nt
Filed under: uncultured bacterium
Lineage: Bacteria
Description: partial 16S ribosomal RNA
Rfam family: Bacterial small subunit ribosomal RNA
Source: RNAcentral